Molecule: unclassified non-coding RNA, 2804 nt
Filed under: Bombyx mandarina (wild silkworm)
Lineage: Eukaryota; Metazoa; Arthropoda; Insecta; Lepidoptera; Bombycidae
Description: dynamin, transcript variant X1
Source: RNAcentral
CACCAUAUUGAAAAAUAAUAGUAGUUUAUCGAUGAUGAACUGAUGAUGAGCGAGUGGAAAUCGUGUAUUUGGUGAUUGAAUAUUAAUGUAUUAUAUUAAAAAUGGCUGGAAAUUUUGGAAUGCAGCAGUUGAUUCCUAUCGUAAACAAAUUACAAGAUGCAUUUGUACAAAUGGGCGUGCACAUGUCCUUAGAUCUUCCACAAAUCGCUGUUGUGGGUGGUCAGUCGGCAGGAAAGAGUUCUGUUUUAGAGAAUUUUGUCGGGAGGGAUUUUUUACCAAGAGGCUCUGGCAUUGUCACACGUCGUCCAUUAAUUCUGCAGCUUAUAAAUGGAAAUACAGAAUAUGCAGAAUUCUUACACUGCAAGGGAAAGAAGUUCACGGACUUCAAUGAAGUUCGAGGAGAGAUCGAGGCGGAGACAGAUCGUGUUACUGGUUCCAACAAGGGUAUAUCUCCUGUACCUAUUAACCUGCGUGUUUAUUCCCCGAAUGUGCUCAACCUGACGCUGAUUGAUUUGCCGGGUCUGACAAAAGUGCCAAUCGGUGAUCAGCCUAUAGAUAUCGAGCAGCAAAUCAAAGGGAUGAUAUUCCAGUUCAUCAGACGCGAAUCAUGCCUUAUCCUGGCAGUUACUCCGGCCAACACGGAUUUGGCCAACAGCGAUGCUCUGAAGCUUGCCAAAGAAGUAGACCCACAAGGAUUGCGUACUAUCGGCGUAAUAACAAAAUUAGAUUUGAUGGACGAGGGUACCGAUGCGCGGGACGUGCUCGAGAACAAGCUGCUGCCGCUGCGCCGAGGCUACAUCGGAGUCGUCAACCGAUCGCAGAAAGACAUUGACGGUCGCAAGGACAUAGCCGCUGCACUUGCGGCUGAGAGAAAAUUCUUCCUUAGCCACCCGUCAUACCGUCAUUUGGCCGAUCGUCUCGGUACCCCUUACCUACAGCGAGUGUUGAACCAACAGCUCACCAACCAUAUCCGCGACACUCUGCCCAGUCUCCGUGACAAGUUGCAGAAACAACUACUGACCUUGGAGAAGGACGUCGACCAGUACAAGCAUUUCCGACCCGAUGACCCGUCUAUUAAAACUAAGGCCAUGUUGCAAAUGAUUCAGACUUUGCAAACCGAUUUUGAACGCACCAUCGAAGGUUCCGGAUCGGCGCAGAUCAACACCAACGAAUUGUCCGGUGGCGCUAAGAUCAACAGGCUUUUCCACGAACGUUUUCCUUUUGAAAUUGUCAAAAUGGAGUUUGACGAAAAGGAACUGCGCCGCGAGAUCGCGUUCGCCAUUCGAAAUAUCCACGGUAUCCGAGUGGGUUUGUUCACACCGGAUAUGGCGUUUGAGGCUAUCGUGAAAAAGCAGAUCGGACGUCUGAAGGAGCCGUGCCUGAAGUGCGUCGAUCUGGUUGUGCAGGAGCUGUCCAACGUUGUACGGAUUUGCACCGAACGAAUGUCUCGUUACCCGCGCCUGCGCGAAGAGACGGAGCGCAUCAUAAUGUCGCACGUGCGCUCGCGGGAGCAGAUGUGCAAGGAUCAGCUGGUGCUGCUCAUCGACUGCGAACUGGCUUAUAUGAAUACCAAUCAUGAAGAUUUCAUUGGAUUCGCGAACGCACAAAAUCAGUCUGAGAACUCUGCGAAGUCAGGACAUCGAGCGCUCGGAAAUCAGGUGAUCCGAAAAGGAUACAUGUGCAUUCACAAUCUGGGAAUUAUGAAGGGAGGUUCCCGCGACUACUGGUUCGUACUGACUUCUGAGAGCAUCUCGUGGUACAAGGAUGAAGAGGAGCGGGAGAAGAAGUACAUGUUGCCCCUCGACGGGCUCAAGUUGAGAGAUCUCGAGCAGGGCUUCAUGUCGCGGCGACACAUGUUCGCACUCUUCAACCCUGAAGGCAGAAAUGUUUACAAGGAUUACAAGCAAUUGGAGUUGUCGUGUGAAACUCAAGAUGACGUCGAUUCGUGGAAGGCUUCGUUCCUGCGCGCGGGAGUCUACCCCGAGAAGACAUCGGAGGCGGCCAACGGCGACGAGUUAUUUCCGCCUUCCCUGGGUUUGGGUGAAAAUGCAGGAAGAAAUUCGGACAGCACAGGCACCAGCAGUAUGGACCCGCAGUUAGAGAGGCAGGUGGAGACCAUCCGUAAUCUGGUGGAUUCGUACAUGCGCAUCGUGACGAAGACAACGCGAGAUCUCGUCCCCAAGACAAUCAUGAUGAUGAUUAUCAAUAAUGCCAAAGACUUCAUUAAUGGAGAAUUACUCGCGCAUCUGUAUGCGUCCGGGGAUCAGUCUCAAAUGAUGGAAGAGUCUCCCGAGGAGGCACUGAAGCGUGAAGAGAUGUUGCGCAUGUACCACGCGUGCAAGGAGGCGCUGCACAUCAUCGGCGACGUGUCCAUGGCCACCGUGAGCACGCCCGUCCCGCCGCCCGUCAAGAACGACUGGCUCGAGAGCAGACUCGACUCCAACCCGAGACUGUCGCCGCCCUCGCCCGGCGGCCCGCGCCGCGCCGCACCCGCGCAGCAAGGUUCAUUGGGUCAGCGCGGAGCUCCCCCGCCGCCCGGAGCGGGUGCAGGACGUCCGGCGCCGCCGCUCCCCUCGCGGCCGGGAGGCGCCGCCCCCCCGCCCCCCGCUGCCAGACCCGUGCCCUCACAGGGUCUGCCCGCACCGCUCAUUCCCACGCGGCGCUAAGGUCGCAGCUUCUACGCGCGUCCUCUAACAUUAGUUACGUACGAAAAUAAGGCGACCCGGCGGGGCGAGUGCUGGCGGUGCGAUGAACCAACUCCCGCCGCAAAUGAGGAACCAGAUCAACCAGGCCGUCGGGCAGGC